CUACGGGGCGCUCCAGUGGGGAAUAUUGCACAAUGGGCGCAAGCCUGAUGCAGCAACGCCGCGUGAGGGAUGAAGGCCUUCGGGUUGUAAACCUCUUUUAGCAGGGAAGAAGCGAAAGUGACGGUACCUGCAGAAAAAGCACCGGCUAACUACGUGCCAGCAGCCGCGGUAAUACGUAGGGUGCAAGCGUUGUCCGGAAUUAUUGGGCGUAAAGAGCUCGUAGGCGGUUUGUCACGUCUGCUGUGAAAAUCCAAGGCUCAACCUUGGACUUGCAGUGGGUACGGGCAGGCUAGAGUGCGGUAGGGGAGAUGGGAAUUCCUGGUGUAGCGGUGGAAUGCGCAGAUAUCAGGAGGAACACCAAUGGCGAAGGCACAUCUCUGGGCCGUAACUGACGCUGAGGAGCGAAAGCGUGGGGAGCGAACAGGAUUAGAUACCCCGGUAGUC
Molecule: ribosomal RNA, 444 nt
Filed under: uncultured bacterium
Lineage: Bacteria
Description: partial 16S ribosomal RNA
Rfam family: Bacterial small subunit ribosomal RNA
Source: RNAcentral